GCUCCACAUACGUGAAAUCGUUGUGCACACCAACACCCACAGAGGCGCACGUGUGUUGUACCGUCACCCCACAUGAACAAUCGUUUCGCGCACCCAGCGUCUAUCGCACCACAGGCGCAGACCUCCAACUACCCCACGGUGCACAACAUUUAUUUUCGGUCUUCACCGCUGUCCACGCUGCCGACAAGGCGGAACACAAAGUUCAAGUGCCCCUCAUGCGGGGUGUGGGGUGAAAAAAGCACGGUGUGCAAGGUGUGCCUCUCUACCAUACCAGGCCCCCGCCGCAUCUACGCGCCCCCCUCUUCAGAGACCGUGAAGCGUCAGCCAGCCAGUUCAGGUCGACGGCACACCGUCGUGCAGCCAGCCACGCAACUCGGCGUGGCAGCAGUCGGCGCUACGGAGAGCAAGAGAGGCAAAAGUAUCAAAGACCCGGCCCCACAAACCACUGAACGGGCGCUGAACCUACGCGUGCCUCGCAGCCGUGCUUUCCCCGCUCUGCGUACAGCGACAGCGCCGACGCCAGGAACCCCGCCAUCCACUGCGGCGCAGGCGCAGCAGCGUAGCCGAGGCAUUUGAAGUACCUGCAUCAUCUGGUUCACGACGUGUGAACCGUGGAACUUGUACCACGCCGAGAUGGUUUCCUGGGACGGAGAGAGAUGGCGGUGUGCCUUUGUGUGGAAGUUGGGGAAUUCGGUGCCAGGUAGGUGCAGGGGAGGAUGAGAGGGCUCACAUCUCUACCCUUUUCGUAUCGCGAAGUGCAUCACUUGAUCGUCCCGCCAUGAUCAUCGUUCCUGAGAGAACCGAAAAAGCAGGAAAAAAGAGCGAGGAGGCCCAUCGCCGCUUUUCUGUCGCCUCGUGCUCUUUGUCCUCCUCCUCUCUACAUCUCUGGCUGUUUUUGGUGUUCUCGACACCAACCGCCUUCCCCCAUGGGCCCUGGGGCGCCCUGCCGACGAGCCUCGUGCGUUUCAGUACAAAGUGUUUCUGCCAUGUUCGUUCUCUAUCCAGCAGCUUGGUGGUGCGCCGUAGUCCCCGCCUUUCUCCCCUCCAUGCGCGCACUCUCACCUACCUAGUCCAUUGCACGCGUGCGCGGAUGCGUUUGUCUUUGCCCCUUUUUCUCGCUCCCACCCUAAACACUCACACAACGACAAUGACGCGGCGUGUGUGUACGUGUCCCCCCAUGGGCGGAUGCCCUCCUUUGUCGGCUUACGUUCGACGCCUCGAGCCCACCUUCAG
RNAcentral lists this unclassified non-coding RNA (1233 nucleotides) under Leishmania donovani. RNAcentral's name for it is "gene:unknown". Lineage: Eukaryota; Euglenozoa; Kinetoplastea; Trypanosomatida; Trypanosomatidae. The record is from RNAcentral.